RNAcentral lists this ribosomal RNA (253 nucleotides) under uncultured bacterium. RNAcentral describes it as "partial 16S ribosomal RNA". It matches the Rfam family "Bacterial small subunit ribosomal RNA", at positions 524 to 776 of the family's 1533-position model. The record is from RNAcentral.
UACGUAGGGUGCGAGCGUCAAUCGGAAUUACUGGGCGUAAAGGGUACGCAGGCGGCUUCGCAAGUCAGACGUGAAAUCCCCGGGCUCAACUUGGGAAUGGCGUUUGAGACUACGAGGCUUGAGUGUGGCAGAGGGAGGUGGAAUUCCACGUGUAGCGGUGAAAUGCGUAGAGAUGUGGAGGAACACCGAUGGCGAAGGCAGCCUCCUGGGCCAACACUGACGCUCAUGCACGAAAGCGUGGGGAGCAAACAGG